CGGCGUGCCUAACACAUGCAAGUCGAGCGAGAAAGCCCGCAAGGGUGAGUACAGCGGCGCACGGGUGAGUAACACGUGGGUAAUCUGCCCUGGAGUCCGGAAUAACUCGCCGAAAGGCGUGCUAAUGCCGGAUGAGACCACGGGGGCUUCGGCUCCUGAGGGAAAAGGUGGCCUCUGCAUGCAAGCUAUCACUCCAGGAUGAGCCCGCGGCCCAUCAGCUAGUUGGCGGGGUAACGGCCCACCAAGGCUACGACGGGUAGCUGGUCUGAGAGGACGAUCAGCCACACUGGAACUGAGACACGGUCCAGACUCCUACGGGAGGCAGCAGUGGGGAAUCUUGCGCAAUGGGCGAAAGCCUGACGCAGCAACGCCGCGUGUGUGAUGAAGGUCUUCGGAUCGUAAAGCACUGUCGGGAGGGACGAAUAAGGCGCCGGCGAAUAUCCGGCGACGAUGACGGUACCUCCAAAGGAAGCACCGGCUAACUCUGUGCCAGCAGCCGCGGUAAUACAGAGGGUGCAAGCGUUGUUCGGAAUUAUUGGGCGUAAAGCGCGUGUAGGCGGCCAGCCAAGUCGGGUGUGAAAGCCCUCGGCUUAACCGAGGAAGUGCGCCCGAAACUAGCUGGCUUGAGUACCGGAGAGGGUGGCGGAAUUCCCGGUGUAGAGGUGAAAUUCGUAGAUAUCGGGAGGAACACCAGUGGCGAAGGCGGCCACCUGGACGGAUACUGACGCUGAGACGCGAAAGCGUGGGGAGCAAACAGGAUUAGAUACCCUGGUAGUCCACGCUGUAAACGAUGAGCGCUAGGUGUUGUGGGUGUUGACCCCCGCAGUGCCGCAGCUAACGCAUUAAGCGCUCCGCCUGGGAAGUACGGCCGC
This 872-nucleotide ribosomal RNA is filed under the name uncultured bacterium. RNAcentral's name for it is "bacterial SSU rRNA". It matches the Rfam family "Bacterial small subunit ribosomal RNA", at positions 40 to 889 of the family's 1533-position model. The record is from RNAcentral.